AGGGAAGUUUUUAGCAUGUGCCGCACCGGGAACACCUUUAUAUAAUUUUUUUUUGUGAUCAUUACAUAAAAUGCAGGUUGCUGAAAGAUUUGAGAAGCUACGUAAAGAAGGUUGGAAACCGCGAAGAACGAUUAUCUUUUGCAAAAUUGGGAUGCAGAAGAAUAUGGAUUGAUUGGAUCGACGGAAUGGGUUGAAGAAAACAGAGAAAAGUUAGCAUCGAAAGUUGUUGCGUACAUAAAUGUCGACAUUGCGGUUGCUGAGGCAUCAGCCACUCCACAACUUGAUCAGUUAAUCACAUGAGUUACAAAACAGGUUCAAGAUCUAGACAACUCAUCACAAACGGUUUACGAUUCCUGGGUAAAAACUGCCAAUAUCCCGAGAUUUACGCACCAUCAAAGCACAACGAUUACGAGUCAAAAUGCUUCCCAGGGAUAGGGAUAGAUGAUGCUGUUGAAAAUGCAAAUAAACUCAACACUAAAGAAUCGUGGGGUGCGGCACAACAUGAAAUUUGGAGGCUGUAAAGCAAGAUUUUACUGUUGUGUGAAAGAGAGCAUGCUUGCUUCAGUCUCUACAAAUACUUCAUCAAGCUCAACACUCUACAAUCACUCAACUCAGACGAAUUAAACUUUCAAAUUAAUAUAUUGACUCUUUGCAUCUGGAUCUUGCGUUGUUUCUCGGCUCUCACAUCAAGGUUUCACAUUUUUUGUCGGCUUUUUACAUCUGCCUCUUGCAUUAUUGUAAGUUCUUCCAAAUUUCUUGGUUUU
Molecule: long non-coding RNA, 764 nt
Organism: Helianthus annuus (common sunflower)
Lineage: Eukaryota; Viridiplantae; Streptophyta; Magnoliopsida; Asterales; Asteraceae
Exons: 6
Source: RefSeq, a predicted model, not a curated record